RNAcentral lists this ribosomal RNA (305 nucleotides) under uncultured bacterium. Its description in RNAcentral is "partial 16S ribosomal RNA". It matches the Rfam family "Bacterial small subunit ribosomal RNA", at positions 505 to 807 of the family's 1533-position model. The record is from RNAcentral.
ACAGCAGCAGCCGCGGGAAUACGGAGGGUGCAAGCGUUAUCCGGAUUUAUUGGGUUUAAAGGGUCCGUAGGCGGAUCUGUAAGUCAGUGGUGAAAUCUCACAGCUUAACUGUGAAACUGCCAUUGAUACUGCAGGUCUUGAGUAAAUUUGAAGUGGCUGGAAUAAGUAGUGUAGCGGUGAAAUGCAUAGAUAUUACUUAGAACACCAAUUGCGAAGGCAGGUCACUAAGAUUUAACUGACGCUGAUGGACGAAAGCGUGGGGAGCGAACAGGAUUAGAUACCCGAGUAGUCCCUGUCUCUUAUAC